AACGAACGCUGGCGGCAUGCCUAACACAUGCAAGUCGAACGAAGCCUUCGGGCUUAGUGGCGCACGGGUGCGUAACGCGUGGGAAUCUGCCCUUGGGUUCGGAAUAACAGUUAGAAAUGACUGCUAAUACCGGAUGAUGACGAAAGUCCAAAGAUUUAUCGCCCAAGGAUGAGCCCGCGUAGGAUUAGGUAGUUGGUGGGGUAAAGGCUCACCAAGCCGACGAUCCUUAGCUGGUCUGAGAGGAUGAUCAGCCACACUGGGACUGAGACACGGCCCAGACUCCUACGGGAGGCAGCAGUGGGGAAUAUUGGACAAUGGGCGAAAGCCUGAUCCAGCAAUGCCGCGUGAGUGAUGAAGGCCUUAGGGUCGUAAAGCUCUUUUACCAGGGAUGAUAAUGACAGUACCUGGAGAAUAAGCUCCGGCUAACUCCGUGCCAGCAGCCGCGGUAA
Molecule: ribosomal RNA, 449 nt
Filed under: uncultured bacterium
Lineage: Bacteria
Description: partial 16S ribosomal RNA
Rfam family: Bacterial small subunit ribosomal RNA
Source: RNAcentral